Molecule: long non-coding RNA, 3247 nt
Organism: Ailuropoda melanoleuca (giant panda)
Lineage: Eukaryota; Metazoa; Chordata; Mammalia; Carnivora; Ursidae
Exons: 5
Source: RefSeq, a predicted model, not a curated record
CACGCACAGGGCCCCGCCACCAGGGAACCUCUAGGCUGUCUGACCCCUACUGGUGUCCUAGGGAAAUUGUCCCUCCCUCCAGGCCAUCUGAGCAAGCUCUCCCGGGCUGGGCCUCACCCUCGAGAGCUUCCAACGUAGCAGAAGUAAAAUGUCUUGAAACGUUGAGAAGCUCGGCAAGGAAAGAAACCACUAAGAGAUGACCAUAUCCGUCCAAUCUCUUCAAAAAGAAAAGAAUACAGAGCUUUCAAAAUGGGUAUAUGGCACUGGCUGUUUUGUACCUGCUAUUUUCACUUGAUGAAUACAUCAUGAACUUUCCUCCUUAGACAGAGAGAGCGUAUGUGCACAUGCAUGCGGGGAGGGGCAGAGAGAAUCCUGAAGCAGACUCAGCGCGAUGCUGGAUCCCACCACCCAUGAGAUCACGACCUGAGCGGCAACCAAGAGUCAGACGCGUAACCAGCGGAGCCACCCAGGCGCCCCCUUCCCAGACCAUUUUGUUGAGUGAAAGCAUCCAGGGACAGAUUUAUUCCAACCAAGUCCAGCCGAGAACAGUGAUGGAUACUCACGGAGUCCACACGCGGCCCUGCAGAACAAGAUUUAUAUUCUUGUAAAAAUCUUCAUCCUAGCGCCUUAUCAGAUCUGAUUUCUUGAAUUGGUUUUCUGAUGGGGAGUGGCACUUCUCCCUCCUUAGCUGCGGGGGGAGAAAGGCCAUCUUUCACAGUUCUUUCUUUCUUUCUUUUUUUUUUUUUUAAAGAUUUUAUUUAUUUAUUCAUUCGACAGAGAUAGAGACAGCCAGCGAGAGAGGGGAACACAAGCAGGGGGAGUGGAGAGGAAGAAGCAGGCUCAUAGCAGAGGAGCCUGAUGUGGGGCGAUCCCAUAACGCCGGGAUCACGCCCUGAGCCGAAGGCAGACGCUUAACCGCUGUGCCACCCAGGCGCCCCCACAGUUCUUUCUAAGGGACUUAGUUCAUGGUCAUGGCUUGCAUUUGGGGGGGCAAUUCCAUCAGUUGGCAUUAGAAGGAAAAAAGCAGGCCUGCUGAGCUCAGUUUUACUAGCAGAAAUGGGGAAAGAGUGAAGAGGAUUGACUUGCCAACUGUGAAAUGGGGAGCAUGGGUUGUUUUUGUUCGUUGAACGUCAUCCUUUGGAUUCCCUUUAAUGGCGGAAAUUCUGACUUUCUUUAGAUAAGAGGAUUAAGUUUACACCCCUCCCCAGGCUGUGAGUGUGAUAUGAGUUAUGGCCACUUUUAGGUGCUAUUAGCCCCUUGGCUUCAGGGAGCACACAGGAAAAGUGACUCUGGAGGGAUGCAGUUCACGUCAAACCUUUAACAAAUCCACAUCACGAAAACCCAAUUAAGAUGACUUUGGUGUAAAAGAGGAUUUACCACUUUGCAGCAACUCACCAUGUGAUUACUUUAAAUAGACAGUUCUUCUGCAUUUUGUAUCUUUUCUCCCCCCCAAAAAUGAAUGUGCUUUUUUUUUUUUUUUUGAGACUGCACUGUGAGCCUAGCUCUAUAAGAAAACCACAUAGGCCAGAUCUCAAAAGCGAACGAUGCCCCCUCAUUCUGUGCAAGUGAGUUUUUUUGGUGUCUUUGAGCACCCACCUCCAGUGCCUAGUGAGAUAGUCAUGCCACCCAGGAAAGUGGGAAAUGUUGCCUAAGAACAGCGCCCACAUCCCAGCAGUCAUGUGGGGGGCUGGCCACACCUCUCCAGAUGCCGGCAACACAACGUGUGCCAGAGCUCACAGACCCCCUGCCGGAAGCCAGGUAGCCUAGGGAGCAAAGUCGGGACAAUGAGGCGCCAAAGGCCCAACGCUGGCAAGGUGCCCAGGGCGAUGGUGGCCAUUGGGACAGUUCUGCGUCACUCAAUUGUGAAAGCUGAUUCUAUUUAAUUCGCUUUAAUUAAAAUAGGAGGGCCAGUUUUACCCCAAGGCAGAAGAUGUUGUCAGUGGAUGCAGAGUGAGGUUUGAGGUCCAGGAAGCAAGAGUGUCGCCUCCCUUGCCUCUGUCCCAGAGGAUUGACUUGGCAUCUUGUAGUCGCCCUUCACAAGUCACUGGACUGUUACCCUGUUUGAAGAACACAGCUUCUCCUGCCAGGAAGCAGGGCACCACUUGAAAGGCUCGAAGGGCUAAAGUCUAGAGCAUUCGAUGAGCAAGGAGAAGGCGUGAAGGGAAAUGAUGAGUGUGUAUAUGACACAGAAGACAGAGGUUUUUUGGGUUUUGUCUUUGCUUUAGAGAGAGGGCGCGCAUGCGAGCAGAGGGUGGAAGGGGAGAGAGAGAGAGAGAGAAUCUCACGCAGUCAUCCUGCUGAGUGCAGAGCCUGAUGCAGGGCUUGAUCCCAUGAUCCUGACAUCAUGACCUGAGCCGAAAUCAAGAGUCAGGCACUUAACACUGAGCCACCCAGGUGGCCCUGGAAAACAGAGUUUGUCUCAUUUCCCACUGAAUAUAAACUCCUUUGGGCAGAAGGUUUUGUGUUGUGUUCAUUGAUGAAUCCCCAGCACCUAGAACCAAGUCUGGUGCAUUGUAGGAGCUCAGGAAAUAUUUAUUCAAUGAGUGCUUCCGAAAUGUUGAAUGAGGGAGUCCUUCCAAUGAAGGGGCUGCUUCCCUGUGAAGCCCUAUGGGGGAAAAGGGGUGUAAGUCAGGGUGCCUAUCCUAAGGUCUGGCCAUAUGCUAGCCCCAUAACCAGCUGGCAUUUAUUCAUUCCUUCAUUCAUUCAAGGAACAUUUACCGAGCCCCUCUUCUGUAACAUACAACCCAACAUGAGCCAGGCUCUGAGGUUACCAUGGUGACUCAGGCUGGGACCACAACAUUCUGUAGGCAUUCACCGGGCUGGGGCGGGGCAGAGGGGAGCAUUAGGGCAGCUCGUGUCAAGGUCUACAGUCCCUCAAAGGCAUGCUGGGACCACCUACCAGUCACACCCCCUCACUCUGCACUUCUCCACUACUGAACCCGCUGAACAUGACCUUUCCUCUGGCUAGUCCUUCCCAGCUUUGUUCACCCCAGGGCCCAGCGCCAUAGUAAAUGUACCUUUCCCAGCAAAGUGAUGGUCCCGGGAGCCUUUGGCUGUAUUUCCUGAAACAGUUUUAACUUACUCCUGUUUACAAAGGGCACUGGGCAGGCUCAAAAUAGUGCCAGAAGACAAAAAAACAACAACAAGGAAUCUGUUUCCACAAGGCCUGAACAGUUCCUGUUAUAUCUGUUUUGUGGACUGGACGAUUAUUUUACAUGCUGUCCAAGCUGGGCCAGAACUUGCUGGG